ACAGCAGUCGCCGCGGUAAUACAGAGGGUGCAAGCGUUAAUCGGAAUUACUGGGCGUAAAGCGCGCGUAGGUGGUUUGUUAAGUUGGAUGUGAAAGCCCCGGGCUCAACCUGGGAACUGCAUCCAAAACUGGCAAGCUAGAGUACGGUAGAGGGUGGUGGAAUUUCCUGUGUAGCGGUGAAAUGCGUAGAUAUAGGAAGGAACACCAGUGGCGAAGGCGACCACCUGGACUGAUACUGACACUGAGGUGCGAAAGCGUGGGGAGCAAACAGGAUUAGAUACCCCGGUAGUCCCUGUCUCUUAUAC
Molecule: ribosomal RNA, 305 nt
Filed under: uncultured bacterium
Lineage: Bacteria
Description: partial 16S ribosomal RNA
Rfam family: Bacterial small subunit ribosomal RNA
Source: RNAcentral